GAUGAACGCUGGCGGCGUGCCUAAUACAUGCAAGUCGAGCGAACAGACGAGGAGCUUGCUCCUCUGACGUUAGCGGCGGACGGGUGAGUAACACGUGGAUAACCUACCUAUAAGACUGGGAUAACUUCGGGAAACCGGAGCUAAUACCGGAUAAUAUAUUGAACCGCAUGGUUCAAUAGUGAAAGACGGUUUUGCUGUCACUUAUAGAUGGAUCCGCGCCGCAUUAGCUAGUUGGUAAGGUAACGGCUUACCAAGGCAACGAUGCGUAGCCGACCUGAGAGGGUGAUCGGCCACACUGGAACUGAGACACGGUCCAGACUACUACGGGAGGCAGCAGUAGGGAAAGUUCCGCAAUGGGCGAAAGCCUGACGGAGCAACGCCGAGUGAGUGAUGAAGGUCUUCGGAUCGUAAAACUCUGUUAUUAGGGAAGAACAAAUGUGUAAGUAACUAUGCACGUCUUGACGGUACCUAAUCAGAAAGCCACGGCUAACUACGUG
This 497-nucleotide ribosomal RNA is filed under the name uncultured bacterium. RNAcentral's name for it is "partial 16S ribosomal RNA". It matches the Rfam family "Bacterial small subunit ribosomal RNA", at positions 28 to 507 of the family's 1533-position model. The record is from RNAcentral.